This 252-nucleotide ribosomal RNA is filed under the name uncultured bacterium. Its description in RNAcentral is "partial 16S ribosomal RNA". It matches the Rfam family "Bacterial small subunit ribosomal RNA", at positions 524 to 776 of the family's 1533-position model. The record is from RNAcentral.
UACGUAGGUGCAAGCGUUAUCCGGAAUGACUGGGUGUAAAGGGAGCGUAGACGGUUGUACAAGUCUGAUGUGAAAGCCCACGGCUCAACUGUGGGAGUGCAUUGGAAACUGUAGAACUAGAGUAUCGGAGAGGCAAGUGGAAUUCCUAGUGUAGCGGUGAAAUGCGUAGAUAUUAGGAGGAACACCAGUGGCGAAGGCGGCUUGCUGGACGAAAACUGACGUUGAGGCUCGAAAGCGUGGGGAGCAAACAGG